Molecule: transfer RNA, 63 nt
Filed under: Thuridilla gracilis
Lineage: Eukaryota; Metazoa; Mollusca; Gastropoda; Plakobranchidae
Description: tRNA-Glu
Source: RNAcentral
GUCUUGAUAGUUAAAAUAUAACAUUGUCUUUUCGUGACAAAAGUGACUAGAAGUCUCUAGAUU